AAAGAUGGUUGACCAUAGAACAUGCGCUAUCUCUAUGUCGUAUGUAAUAUGGUCCACGUCUUCU
Felis catus (domestic cat) is the source of this 64-nucleotide microRNA precursor. The record is from Rfam. NCBI's taxonomy places the organism in Eukaryota, Metazoa, Chordata, Mammalia, Carnivora, Felidae.